GACGAACGCUGGCGGCGUGCUUAACACAUGCAAGUCGAACGAUGAAGAAGAGAAACGCGAACUUCGGUUCAAAUUUCACUUCGGAUUAGUGGCAGACGGGUGAGUAACGCGUGAGCAACCUACCUCUUAUAAAGGGAUAGCCUCGGGAAACCGUGAUUAAUACCAUAUGACACAUUCAUAAGGCAUCUUAAGAAUGUUAAAGCUACGGCGGUAAGAGAUGGGCUCGCGUCCCAUUAGCUAGUUGGUGAGGUAACGGCCCACCAAGGCGACGAUGGGUAACCGGCCUGAGAGGGUGAACGGUCACAUUGGAACUGAGACACGGUCCAAACUCCUACGGGAGGCAGCAGUGGGGAAUAUUGCACAAUGGAGGGAACUCUGAUGCAGCGACGCCGCGUGAGCGAUGAAGGAAUUCGUUUCGUAAAGCUCUGUUCUAUGGGAAGAAAAGGACUGUACCAUAGGAGAAAGCCCCGGCUAAAUACGUG
This 482-nucleotide ribosomal RNA is filed under the name uncultured bacterium. RNAcentral's name for it is "partial 16S ribosomal RNA". It matches the Rfam family "Bacterial small subunit ribosomal RNA", at positions 28 to 507 of the family's 1533-position model. The record is from RNAcentral.